Long non-coding RNA from Bombyx mori (domestic silkworm), 669 nucleotides. RefSeq lists it as uncharacterized. The record is from RefSeq and is a predicted model, not a curated record. Lineage: Eukaryota; Metazoa; Arthropoda; Insecta; Lepidoptera; Bombycidae. The transcript is spliced from 2 exons.
UUACCGUUCAGACGACAAAAUAACCAAACCAGUACAUAUCGCUCUCAAUCAAAUGUCUCAAAGAAAAAUACAGUCGAGCAAUCUCGUUUAUUAUUCUGAAUAAAGAUUCCGAAGCUGUACACGGAAUAAAAGUUAAAUACAAAUUUAUGACGAGCGCAAAAACCGGGUAUGAUAAAACAAUUAUGACCGAAUAAACGGGCGUGACAACCGGUUCUUGUAUUAUAUAAUUGUGCUCGCGCUGUGUUCAAUGCCACUCAGCACGUAAUUUGCGGCGGCUCGCCCGAGCAAUUAUAACCUGAACCGGUUAAAAGUUGCCAGUUUAAAUAUUUUUGUAAUUCUAAAAAGGUCGUUUUUAAAGGGGGAAGAGGUCGACCGAAGAAGACAUGGAUGGAGUGUGUGAAUGACAAUAUGAGAGAGAAAGGAGUGAGUGUUGAGCUGAUGGCUGACAGAAGAGAAUGGAAGGGAAAAAGAAAAAGAAGAAGAAUACGUUUUAGGAAAUAAGCCACGGAUUUGGUAAUUUUUAUUCUAUAUAAUUUUAGACAAGUACACGGCUAACCUAUGACUUAGUGCUUAGGUAUAGAGGUUAUAGACAUCGCAAUGGCAAUUGGAAGAUACCAUAAUUGUUAUAAAUUAUAUUAAUUGUUUUUCAAAUAAAUUGCGUUUAUAUUU